UAAAUUCUAGAUCUCUUCUAACCACAUCGCUCACUUCCCCUUCACCAUCAAUCUAUCAAGCUCUCGAACAGGGGUCGGACGACUCACUUCAGGGUGCCGCCAAGCUUGGGUAGAGUCUCUGUUGUGUUCUCCUCUCUCAGAGCAAUCUCUUCUCAUCCUCAAACGCGAGGCGAUCUGUUCGGCCACAAGGAAACACAAGGAGAUGAUGAGAUAAAGGCUGAGUUUUUGUGCCCCUUUUGCGUGAAAGAUUUCAUUUUCGUCGGGGUGUAAUUUUGCAAAGAACAAGGUAUAAU
Rosa chinensis is the source of this 293-nucleotide long non-coding RNA. RefSeq lists it as uncharacterized. NCBI's taxonomy places the organism in Eukaryota, Viridiplantae, Streptophyta, Magnoliopsida, Rosales, Rosaceae. The transcript has 3 exons. The record is from RefSeq and is a predicted model, not a curated record.